This 213-nucleotide ribosomal RNA is filed under the name Trematosphaeriaceae sp. Its description in RNAcentral is "partial large subunit ribosomal RNA". Lineage: Eukaryota; Fungi; Ascomycota; Dothideomycetes; Pleosporales; Trematosphaeriaceae. The record is from RNAcentral.
AAGCGCUUGCAGCCAGACUUGCCUGCGGUUGCUCAUCCGGGCUCUUGCCCGGUGCACUCUUCCGUAGGCAGGCCAGCAUCAGUUUGGGCGGCCGGACAAAGGCCUCUUACACGUACCUCCCUUCGGGGAGGACUUAUAGGAGAGGCGACAUGCGGCCAGCCUGGACUGAGGUCCGCGCUCCGGCUAGGAUGCUGGCGUAAUGGCUGUAAGCGG